AAGGAGGUGAGUCCCGGCCCUCUUGGGAAUGGACGGGACCCAGGAGUGGGUCGGCCCUCACUGGGUUUUAUAUGUUUCAGAAAAGCAGCAUCUGCUACCUGUCCUUUCCCGACUCGCACUCAGGCUGCCUUGGAGACACUCAGUUCAGCUUCCGCAUGCGCCAGUGUGGAGGGCAGAGGAGCCCCUGGCAUGCCGACGACAGGCACUACAACAGCAGGGCCCCUGUGGCACUGCAGAGGGAGCCGGCACACUACUUCGGCUACGUGUACUUCAGGCAGGUGAAGGACAGCUCUGUGAAGAGGGGCUACUUCCAGAAGGAUAUUGCUGCCCCUCACUGAUGGCUGGAGGGUUAUGACACUGUCAGGGUCAGGACAACCCAGCCUGGAAGCCAUAGGCCGAGAGUAAAAGCUGCUCAGCCCCUGGGGAGAUCAUUCCAGAAAUUCUGGCCACCAUGCAUUUCCCUCCGAAGGCCCUAGGGUCCAGCCCACCGGCUGCCACCCAGGGAGUUCGGUGUUGGGUUUUCUCCU
Molecule: small RNA, 527 nt
Filed under: Pongo abelii (Sumatran orangutan)
Lineage: Eukaryota; Metazoa; Chordata; Mammalia; Primates; Hominidae
Description: retained intron
Source: RNAcentral